ACGGCCAUACCACGUUGAUAUAAGGAAAACACUGGUUCUCGUCCGAUCACCGAAGUCAAGCAAUGUUGGACCCGGUCAAUAGUUGAGGGUGACCAUUUGGGAACACCGGGUGCUGUAGGCU
Cordylochernes scorpioides is the source of this 121-nucleotide non-coding RNA. Lineage: Eukaryota; Metazoa; Arthropoda; Arachnida; Pseudoscorpiones; Chernetidae. The record is from the annotation of a GenBank genome assembly.